GACGAACGCUGGCGGCGUGCUUAACACAUGCAAGUCGAACGGAAAGGCCCUGCUUUUGUGGGGUGCUCGAGUGGCGAACGGGUGAGUAACACGUGAGUAACCUGCCCUUGACUUUGGGAUAACUUCAGGAAACUGGGGCUAAUACCGGAUAGGAGCUCCUGCUGCAUGGUGGGGGUUGGAAAGUUUCGGCGGUUGGGGAUGGACUCGCGGCUUAUCAGCUUGUUGGUGGGGUAGUGGCUUACCAAGGCUUUGACGGGUAGCCGGCCUGAGAGGGUGACCGGCCACAAGGGAAGUGAGAGACGGGCCAGACGCCUACGGGAGGCAGCAGGAGGGAAUCGGCCGCAAGGGGCGAAAGCCUGACGGAGCAACGGCGCGUGAGGGAUGAAGGCCGUCGGAGCGGAAGACGCUGUGAUUAGGGAAGAAAAAAUGUGUAAGUAACUAUGCACGUCUGGACGGUACCUAAUCAGAAAGCCACGGCUAACUACGUG
RNAcentral lists this ribosomal RNA (488 nucleotides) under uncultured bacterium. RNAcentral describes it as "partial 16S ribosomal RNA". It matches the Rfam family "Bacterial small subunit ribosomal RNA", at positions 28 to 507 of the family's 1533-position model. The record is from RNAcentral.